GUAAAGUCACACAAUUAUCCCCGAUCUUUUUAAACUAAAAAACAAAAACAAAAACCCUCACAGACUAGAUCUCUCACCGUGAACACCUUCCGUACAACCCCCUUUUUUCUCUCCGGAAAAACUUCAUCCACCGUAUUGGGACUUCUGGAUGUCAAAACCUCCAGGAAAUGUGGGAUGAACGUGAAAUGGCUUCCAAUGAUUCUCUAGAAUUGAACCCAAGCAUUCUCAUCAGUGCUUCAUGGAUGGUGAGGAAGCACAAUUGCUGACCAACAAGAGGCUGGCUGCUGAAUUUCAACAUCCCAAUUCAUUUACUGCACUUCUAAACUCAAAUAUAAUAUUGGGGAAGUCCUUCCAGUUUUUCUUCUGUAGCAAGCCAAAAUCACAGAAUGGCUCUUUGAAAAAUGGAAUAAUGAGAAGCUCCAACUUUGAGGAUUGGUACUUGUCAUCAAUUGCCAUAGGUAGUACGAUUUUGGGAAGUAAAGUAGUCUACCAAGUCAAAGAUGCUGAUGAUAUUUUCUCGGUUUCUUUGGGACGUGCCUAUUUUACUGGAGAUGCUUAUAGCAAGGCCUUAUGAGUCGGUGACAAUGGAGAUUCUUUUGAUAGAGUGAAUGCUGGCUUGAUAUCAGAUACUUGUAUGCAAUUAUGACUUUUUAAUGGGAUAGCCUUCAUUUCAAAGAUUAGAAAAGUGGUCUAUGUGCAUCUACCAGCAACGUAAUAUUUAGUGGUGUAAAAGUAACUACUCCCGGUGAUGCUAUUUCAAAGAGAAAGGAACAAAAAUCCCUUCAAUCGUCAGGAGUUUGCUAUCAACUGGUAUGCAUGAUGGUGUUCAUAUGUAUAUGCUCAUGUGUAAUAUUCUUAUGCCUGGUAGGAGCUUCGCAGUGUCAUUAAGGGUGCUUCCUACGGUCCUACCUCCGUGGCUGUCAAUCAUGUACCUUUUCAAAGGUUCGCUUAUUGCAUAAGAUCUUUUACUAAUGGAAGGCAUGUUGAAUCCAUUUGCCCACCAAAUAAUUGGUUACUUGACAAUUUAAGGCAAUUAAUGCUUAUGAGUUUGAGCGCCAUGCUGGCUGCAAUUCUUAUUUACUUCGACAAUGGCAAGACAAUUGAUGGUGUUGUGAAGAGCUGAGAAACACUCCUCAGAAUGUGUUGUUUGAAGUUAUUCAGACGAUAACUGGAUCACUAAUCAACCACAGAUCUUUUCAGCUUUGGAAAUGUGCCAUCCUUUUAAUAAUUUUCCAAUAUGUUUCAGAGCUCUUAUUUCUUAAGUUGUUAGUUCUCAUGGCAAUUAGAAUUGAUUCAAUUUUAUGAUCAUAUCACUUUCUGCUUUCUGCAGAUUCAUUCCUUGCUGCUGCUCGCGAGCUUCAAUGGAUAUAUGGGACGGAAGAUUGUGUCAUAAAGAGCUGGCUUUAUCAAGGUACCAUAUUAUAAUUUGCAAGAAUCUGUGCAUUAUAUUAAAGGAACAGUAUUUCGUUGUGUCGAGGUCAACGCCACCAUCCUUGAUCCACAUCCUACAUUUUUAUAAUUUUAAUAGUUAAUGUGUUACAUAUGAUUGUAAAAAUUCUCAUUUCAGUUGCAAUCUUAUGUAUAAAAUGGAGCCAUAUGGGAGCCUGUAACAUUUAAAUACACUUUCCGCAACUUCCAA
Erigeron canadensis is the source of this 1639-nucleotide long non-coding RNA. RefSeq lists it as uncharacterized. NCBI's taxonomy places the organism in Eukaryota, Viridiplantae, Streptophyta, Magnoliopsida, Asterales, Asteraceae. The record is from RefSeq and is a predicted model, not a curated record. The transcript has 2 exons.